GAGACAACUCUUUGCAGAGCUGAAAUCCCUGACACAAAAAUUGCAUACUUUAUUUGUCACAAACUUUAAUUAAUAAUCAUUCUUGCUCUAAUAGAUUCAUUCCUCUGAGGACCCUAAAGUACUUCAGAAAAACUAAAAAAUGAAUAUCACGUUACACCAAAGAAGAAAUGAAAGCUGCCAGUGUCUUCUGAAGUUAAACAGGCUCCUGUUCUUUGACCCAGCAAUCCAAUCCCAGGACUCCAGCUAAGCCACUAUGCUGGGAGCAGAGAUGGGGAAGAAUUGCUGAGUCAUGAUAAGAGAAGGCACUACAGGAAGAAACAGUGAACUCUUAACAGCUGGGCAAGCAAUGAGUCAGCCUGGGUGGUCACUCCAGAUGCUCCCGGACACAUCCCAAUUUCUAGGAUGCCUUGCUGAUAUGUACUUCUCAAGGAAAAAAAGUGGUCACUAUAUAUAUUAAACUGACAGACGAAAAGUGGAAAUAACAUAUGUCUUAGAUCUCCAUUUUGGCAAAGACAGGCUUCAGCUAUAAAGAAUCGAAGAAUAAAAUGAAACCAACAAAGUGAAAUCAUUUCUGAACCCAGUAAAUAUUACUGCAGCACUGAUCUGCUGAACCAGCAGAGGAGUCCAAAAGAAAAAUCUACUCAUCCCAAAUGAGUAUUUAUUCUCAAUAUGAUGUGUUUCACUAGCUCCUUUCCUCUAAAGCACUUUUUUUCCCUUGCAUUGUUUUUUUUUUCUAAUUAUAUGUGUGGCUUUAGACAAAUUAUUCCAAUUCUG
This 774-nucleotide long non-coding RNA is filed under the name Gorilla gorilla gorilla (western lowland gorilla). RNAcentral describes it as "lncRNA (ENSGGOG00000044335.1)". Lineage: Eukaryota; Metazoa; Chordata; Mammalia; Primates; Hominidae. The record is from RNAcentral.